UAUGAUGGGGUUCCUGCUGCUUACACAACUUAUACAAUAUGAGUGGCCUUCAUCAGAUUGUUUUCUGGAAGUUUCUCCAUGUAUGAUACACUGCUGCAAAGAAGAGUGUUGACUGGUGAACUACUGCUUUGGAGGAUGAGUCUUUUUACAGCAGACAUAAAGACAAGUGAUUGUGGGAAAAGCACAGGUAUUGCUAAUAACACUAACGAUGUCUCCAUACAAUGCAAGUCUCCCAAUCAGCCCUGACACUGAGAGCCUGCUCCAAAAGCUGUCCGUAUGCCUGUCAAAAGAGCAACAAGCAGAACCAUCAAACUUCAACUUUUCUCGAAAAGACACAGUUGUUGCAGUAGGAGGUAUUCACCCCCUUGGGCUUAUAUGAUGUGAAACCUGCGGGGACUCCUCUGAGUGAUCAGCGGUCAAAACAUACUCACUGAUAAGGGUCCUGGGUCACCAAGCUGAAUCACUCAACUGGGCUGCUUCAAGCUAAGGCCAAUCAGUGAACCAGCAGAGUUAAUGUGUGAUGUUUCGCUUCACUGCCAUGCAAUUGGUGGUCUCCCCUUCCCUACCCUCCUACACUUAAUGUUUGAUUUUCUCGCUUCUUCACAUCCAUUGUGUCACAUGAAACCCCGCAUGUGCCUGCAUCAGAGCUUUCACUGUCACUCAAUGUACGUGCUUGUACAAGUUCAACGUGCGGCCAAGAAAAUACCACCAACAGGAGGAUUUCUCACAAACAGAUAUCCAGAGAAAUCCAGCACGUAGGCUUUCACAGUCACCCUACAAUCAUCCAAGACUGUCACAGCUCCCAUUGAUGGUGUAAGCUUGAGAUAACAGUAAACUGUCUGGGAUUGUGGUUGGCGGUAAGGGGAGUGUCCACUAACUGUAGCUGAGUCAACUCUUGCUAAGUGGGAUGAGUGGCAGAGGAUGGGUGGAACGAGAGACUUGGACCAGCUGUUUUCCAUAUGGAUACCGCAUAGGUCUGGACCCUGAGGAUGAUCCUUACCCAUCAUGACCUGGAAGUCAGUUCUGCUGUCGACAGCUCUUGGGAAUGAACAUGUCCGUCCCUUUCAUCUUGAUGUCUUCGUGAGAUUGGCAGCACCUUCUCAUCUCAUCAGCCUCAGUGAGUCAGCAACUGUUGCCUGCGGGGCAGAGUAAGCUGAUCCUGCAAGUUGCCAUGUUAGCCGAGGAGGAUUUCUCAUUAAUCAGUGAACUGUUUUUACAUUAAAGGUGAAAUUAUUGAAAUCUUCAUUGAUGACUCUAUAUAAUGUAAACGUCUUCCAGAUGCAGUCACCCCUCUGCUCGUUCAAACUUAACUUACUGGAAAGUGCCUUAGGAAAUGUCACAGAUACCUUCAGGAUGGUUAACCAUGAUAUAUCCCCCUCCCCCAAGUGGUCUGCCCACUGUUUCCAAUGCAAGUGCUCUCCAUUUGUCUCUGUGGAUCAAAUGUCCUAGCGACUGCUCUGUUGAUCUGCGAGCCUCCUUAUAAGGUCUGAGCAGAGAGAGCACAGCCUUGAGAGAGCCUUACCAGCCCUUUCCCUUUAUUUACACAGACUCUGGGUGCACACAAGCAUGAAAAAUCAACCCUAUCAGAGUUUCUUCACAAGCUACAGGAAUAUCUUCAUUGUGGAACACCCUAAAUGCAGCACAGCCAUGUGUUAUUCUUUGCAUGUACUCUCAAUUUGGUACCGGACAACAGACACACAGUGCAAAAAGUUUUAUUCAUUGCCAUUCCAUUAAAAAAGGUUGUAAAUAUACAUAUGAGUGUGGUUCAGUAUUUAACCAUGUAUGAAAUGUCUGAAAUAUUGCCAAACACUAUAGAACUCUUCCAUCUGUACGACUUAAAGGACUGAUUUAAUUUCAUACCCCUUAAAUUUAUAGAUUACAUUUGCAGAGGUCGUUACAGCACAGAUCAAAAUUCAUAUUGCAGCUAAUGCAGAAAUGACAGAGUUCCUCAUAGCAUGUGAAGCAGGAAUUUCCUGCGCUGGAGGGCUGUUAACCUGAAUCUCAGGGUUAAUCUGUCUGGAAAACGGUAAUAUGGCUUUUUUUCCUGCUUAGAUUUGGACAUGUGACCAGUUGAGUAAACAUGUAUUCAUUGAGGGCCUUGCAUGAACAGUACCUGCAUUCAGCUCAGCAGUCUCCCCUUGUACCUUUACCACUUGCUACAACAUAUGGUAACAU
Molecule: long non-coding RNA, 2175 nt
Organism: Eleginops maclovinus (Patagonian blennie)
Lineage: Eukaryota; Metazoa; Chordata; Actinopteri; Perciformes; Eleginopidae
Exons: 3
Source: RefSeq, a predicted model, not a curated record